UCGCGGGGACGAGAGAUCGACCCCUUCAUUUAGUUGGACGGUGCACAGGUGCUGCAUGGCUGUCGUCAGCUCGUGUCGUGAGAUGUUGGGUUAAGUCCCGCAACGAGCGCAACCUCGCCUUCAGUUGCCAUCAUUCAGUUGGGCACUCUGAAGGGACUGCCGGUGACAAGCCGGAGGAAGGUGGGGAUGACGUCAAGUCCUCAUGGCCCUUACGGGUUGGGCUACACACGUGCUACAAUGGCGGUGACAAUGGGAUGCGAAAGCGCGAGCUGGAGCAAAUCCCAAAAAGCCGUCUCAGUUCGGAUUGCACUCUGCAACUCGAGUGCAUGAAGUCGGAAUCGCUAGUAAUCGCGCAACAGCAUGGCGCGGUGAAUACGUUCCCGGGCCUUGUACACACCGCCCGUCACACCAUGGGAGUUGGUUCUACCCGAAGACGGUGCGCUAACCGCAAGGAGGCAGCCGGCCACGGUAGGGUCAGUGACUGGGGUGAAGUCGUAACAAGGUAGGCGUAGAUGA
This 516-nucleotide ribosomal RNA is filed under the name uncultured bacterium. RNAcentral describes it as "bacterial SSU rRNA". It matches the Rfam family "Bacterial small subunit ribosomal RNA", at positions 991 to 1509 of the family's 1533-position model. The record is from RNAcentral.